GAUCACAUCUCAGGAAAUCGACCCAACAACCUGUAACAUCUCUGAGACAACAAACACAACAACCGGUGAGUUCUCUUUCGUUUUCAAACAUAGAUGAACAGCCUGCUACAUUCUUGAAUUUGAACCAACCACAGCCUGUAACUUCUGAGAGGAGCUUUAAUAGAGAAAAUCCACCAUUUGGUAUUGGUUUGAGCUCGACGAGAGGGCGAGAACCGGAGGUAACUGUUGAGCAGCGUGGGAAUCAACAGCCCAUAGAAAGAAAUGAGAAUGUAGUGAUGGGUAGCAAUGAAAAUAGACCUGCUAGUACUAGUAAUAAUGCGAGUAAUGUGAAGGAGAAAGAGAGUAUUAGGGCAGAUGCAUCAGCUAAGAAGAUACCUAGUUUCUGGACAGCAUGUCCUUAUUGUUACGUUAUGCACGAGUACCCUUUGGAUUAUGUUGAUUGUACACUAAAGUGUCAAAAUUGUAAGAGGGCUUUUCAAGCUGUUAAGGUUGCUGCUCCGCCUAUUAUUGAUGGAAAAGAAGCUUAUUUCUGUUGUUGGG
This 540-nucleotide unclassified non-coding RNA is filed under the name Hevea brasiliensis (rubber tree). The record is from RNAcentral. Lineage: Eukaryota; Viridiplantae; Streptophyta; Magnoliopsida; Malpighiales; Euphorbiaceae.